UACGUAGGGUGCAAGCGUUAAUCGGAAUUACUGGGCGUAAAGCGUGCGCAGGCGGUUUUGUAAGUCUGACGUGAAAGCCCCGGGCUUAACCUGGGAAUUGCGUUGGAGACUGCAAGGCUUGAAUCUGGCAGAGGGGGGUAGAAUUCCACGUGUAGCAGUGAAAUGCGUAGAGAUGUGGAGGAACACCGAUGGCGAAGGCAGCCCCCUGGGUUAACACUGACGCUCAGGCACGAAAGCGUGGGGAGCAAACAGG
Molecule: ribosomal RNA, 253 nt
Filed under: uncultured bacterium
Lineage: Bacteria
Description: partial 16S ribosomal RNA
Rfam family: Bacterial small subunit ribosomal RNA
Source: RNAcentral